Molecule: non-coding RNA, 107 nt
Organism: Gossypium arboreum
Lineage: Eukaryota; Viridiplantae; Streptophyta; Magnoliopsida; Malvales; Malvaceae
Source: Rfam
AAUCCGUGGUGUAAGCAUUUUUGAAUCAAUAUUUUGAAAAGUUCCCAUGCCUUAUAGAAAAUCUCUCCCUCUAUCUGUCUAAAGACAACAAUCUUUCGUCUCAGUUG